RNAcentral lists this ribosomal RNA (449 nucleotides) under Chloroflexota bacterium. RNAcentral's name for it is "bacterial LSU rRNA". It matches the Rfam family "Bacterial large subunit ribosomal RNA", at positions 2481 to 2925 of the family's 2925-position model. The record is from RNAcentral. Lineage: Bacteria; Bacillati; Chloroflexota.
GCUUAUCUUGCCCAAGAGUCCAUAUCGACGGCAAGGUUUGGCACCUCGAUGUCGGCUCGUCGCAUCCUGGGGCUGAAGAAGGUCCCAAGGGGCGGGCUGUUCGCCCGUUAAAGCGGCACGCGAGCUGGGUUCAGAGCGUCGUGAGACAGCUCGGUCUCUAUCCGCUGUGCGCGAAGGAUAUUUGAAGGAAUCUGUUCCUAGUACGAGAGGACCGGAAUGGGCAAACCAAUGGUGUAUCGGUUGUAACGCCAGUUGCAUAGCCGAGUAGCUAAGUUUGUUAGGGAUAAGCGCUGAAAGCAUCUAAGUACGAAGCCCCUCCUGAGAUAAGAUAUCCCAUCUCUUUAUGAGAGUAAGAUCCCCGGAAGACUACCGGGUUGAUAGGCUACAUGUGUAAGUAUAGUAAUAUAUUCAGCUAAGUAGUACUAAUAGAUCGAGGAUUUGAUAAAUUU